Molecule: transfer RNA, 68 nt
Filed under: Pteropus alecto (black flying fox)
Lineage: Eukaryota; Metazoa; Chordata; Mammalia; Chiroptera; Pteropodidae
Rfam family: tRNA
About the family: Transfer RNA (tRNA) molecules are approximately 80 nucleotides in length. Their secondary structure includes four short double-helical elements and three loops (D, anti-codon, and T loops).
Source: Rfam by way of RNAcentral
GGCUCCAUAGUGUAGUGGUUAACAAGUCUGCUUUACAUGCAGAAGGUUUCACACCCCAGGUAGAGCCA